GUGAACGCUGGCGGCGUGCCUAAUACAUGCAAGUCGAACGGAAUUUAAGAGAGCUUGCUCUUUUAAAUUUAGUGGCGCACGGGUGAGUAAUAUAUAGCUAAUCUGCCCCUUGCUGGAGGACAACAGUUAGAAAUGACUGCUAAUACUCCAUACUCCUUUUUACCAUAAGAUAAAUCGGGAAAGAAUUUCGGCAAGGGAUGAGACUAUAUCGUAUCAGCUAGUCGGUGGGGUAACGGCCUACCGAGGCUAUGACGCGUAACUGGUCUGAGAGGAUGAUCAGUCACAUUGGAACUGAGACACGGUCCAAACUCCUACGGGAGGCAGCAGUAGGGAAUAUUGCGCAAUGGGGGAAACCCUGACGCAGCAACGCCGCGUGGAGGAUGACACUUUUCGGAGCGUAAACUCCUUUUGUUAGGGAAGAAUAAUGGCGGUACCUAACGAAUAAGCACCGGCUAACUCCGUGCCAGCAGCCGCGGUAAUACGGAGGGUGCAAGCGUUACUCGGAAUCACUGGGCGUAAAGGACGCGUAGGCGGAUUAUCAAGUCUCUUGUGAAAUCUAACGGCUUAACCGUUAAACUGCUUGGGAAACUGAUAAUCUAGAGUAAGGGAGAGGCAGAUGGAAUUCUUGGUGUAGGGGUAAAAUCCGUAGAUAUCAAGAAGAAUACCUAUUGCGAAGGCGAUCUGCUGGAACUUAACUGACGCUAAUGCGUGAAAGCGUGGGGAGCAAACAGGAUUAGAUACC
This 742-nucleotide ribosomal RNA is filed under the name uncultured Campylobacterales bacterium. RNAcentral's name for it is "bacterial SSU rRNA". It matches the Rfam family "Bacterial small subunit ribosomal RNA", at positions 29 to 786 of the family's 1533-position model. The record is from RNAcentral. Lineage: Bacteria; Pseudomonadati; Campylobacterota; Epsilonproteobacteria; Campylobacterales.